This 262-nucleotide ribosomal RNA is filed under the name uncultured bacterium. RNAcentral describes it as "partial 16S ribosomal RNA". The record is from RNAcentral.
CUGCUGCCUUCCGUAGGAGUUUGGGCCGUGUCUCAGUCCCAAUGUGGCCGUUCACCCUCUCAGGCCGGCUACUGAUCGUCGCUUUGGUGGGCCGUUACCCCGCCAACUGGCUAAUCAGACGCGGAUCCAUCGUAUACCACCGGAGUUUUUCACACUGUUCCAUGCGGAACCGUGCGCUUAUGCGGUAUUAGCACCUAUUUCUAAGUGUUAUCCCCCUGUAUACGGCAGGUUAUCCACGCGUUACUCACCCGUCCGCCACUAA